CCGAGUUUACAACUCCCAAACCCCUGUGAACAUACCACUUGUUGCCUCGGCGGAUCAGCCCGCUCCCGGUAAAACGGGACGGCCCGCCAGAGGACCCUUAAACUCUGUUUCUAUAUGUAACUUCUGAGUAAAACCAUAAAUAAAUCA
RNAcentral lists this unclassified non-coding RNA (147 nucleotides) under soil metagenome. RNAcentral's name for it is "partial internal transcribed spacer 1". The record is from RNAcentral.